UAUCUCUGUAGAGUCUGCAUAUCAAUAAGCGGAGGAAAAGAAACUAACAAGGAUUCCCCUAGUAACGGCGAGUGAAGCGGGAAGAGCUCAAAUUUGAAAUCUUCAAGGUUUGACCUUGACGAAUUGUAGUUUAAAGAAGUGUUUUCGGUUAGAGGAGUAGUAAAAGUUCUUUGGAAUAGGACAUCAUAGAGGGUGAGAAUCCCGUAUUUGACUAUUCUUUCUAGCUUUGUGAUACACUUUCAAAGAGUCGGAUUGUUUGGGAAUGCAGUCCAAAAUGGGUGGUAAAUUUCAUCUAAAGCUAAAUAUUGGCGAGAGACCGAUAGCGAACAAGUACCGUGAGGGAAAGAUGAAAAGAACUUUGAAAAGAGAGUUAAACAGUACGUGAAAUUGUCAAAAGGGAAGCGUUUGACACCAGUGCUGUUUUUCCGAAAAUCAAUUAAAAAUUGAUUCAUGCCAGGUUGUAUUGACCUUAUCAGCUUGCAAUUUGGUUUUGGGUCUCUUUUUGAUGCACUUUUCGGUUAACAAGUCAACACCAAUUUCCUUUGCUGUAAAAAGGUAAGAGGAAGGUGGCUUCAAUUUCGGUUGAAGUGUUUAUAGCCUUUUAUCUCUGCAGUCGGGGAGAUUGAGGUCUGCAGCGUAGAUCCUUCGGGGCUAGAUACAUUUAUGCUAAGUUAUAGCUUUUCAUAGACAACUUGUUGACUAUGUUUAGUCAUGCGGCUUACUCGCUUGUGCUAUUUUACCUACGCUUAGGAUGUUGAGCGCAUGUCUCUCUCU
RNAcentral lists this ribosomal RNA (774 nucleotides) under uncultured Neocallimastigales. Its description in RNAcentral is "partial large subunit ribosomal RNA". It matches the Rfam family "Eukaryotic large subunit ribosomal RNA", at positions 24 to 616 of the family's 3401-position model. Lineage: Eukaryota; Fungi; Neocallimastigomycota; Neocallimastigomycetes; Neocallimastigales. The record is from RNAcentral.